UAAUCCUAUUAUUUUUUGAUAUUUAGAAGCCCUAGGUUGAUCCAAUUAAAAAAAAAAUUUCGAAGCCGAGUUGUUUGCAGGGCUUUACUACCUACCCCAGAAAACGCCAUUCCGUUUUGCUGCAUCUUUACUUUUGGAACACGUUCCGAGGCAAAGGGAACUUAUUUCUUCUAUAUUUUCUGUAUGCAUGUCGAAAUGAUAAUUGCUCGCAACG
This is a long non-coding RNA of Gordionus sp. m RMFG-2023, 214 nucleotides long. RefSeq lists it as uncharacterized. Lineage: Eukaryota; Metazoa; Nematomorpha; Gordioida; Chordodea; Parachordodidae. The transcript has 3 exons. The record is from RefSeq and is a predicted model, not a curated record.